Molecule: unclassified non-coding RNA, 240 nt
Filed under: soil metagenome
Description: partial contains 5.8S ribosomal RNA, internal transcribed spacer 2, and large subunit ribosomal RNA
Source: RNAcentral
AACCUUAUGGACCUGCGGGCGUAUACCUGCGGAGGGAUCAUUACCGAGUUUUCAACUCCCUAACCCUUCUGUGAACCUACCUAUCGUUGCUUCGGCGGACUCGCCCCAGCCCGGACGCGGACUGGACCAGCGGCCCGCCGGGGACCUCAAACUCUUGUAUUCCAGCAUCUUCUGAAUACGCCGCAAGGCAAAACAAAUGAAUCAAAACUUUUAACAACGGAUCUCAGAUCGGAAGAGCAC